Camellia sinensis is the source of this 944-nucleotide non-coding RNA. The record is from RefSeq and is a predicted model, not a curated record. NCBI's taxonomy places the organism in Eukaryota, Viridiplantae, Streptophyta, Magnoliopsida, Ericales, Theaceae.
UCUGAUACCAUUUGUAACGCCCCAGCCCUUCACACGUUAUCGAUAUUGUCCGCUUUGUGCUUACGCCCGCACGGAUUUUAUUCUUUUCAGUGGGUCACCCAUCCUAGAAUUGCUCCAGCCUAAGCACGCUUAACUGGAGAGUUCUACUAAAGAUUUUACCACCCGGGAAAAGGCCUCGAUGCUAUAUAAGGGUCCAGGUUUUUACUUUUAUAACCUAGGAAUUCCUUUUCCAUUCCCGAUGUGGGAUACCGGGACCUUACAAUAUACUGUCACGUCCCAAAAUUUGGACAAUUAAAUAUUAAAUUAGGAUUAAACCCUAAUUAAUAUUCCAUCAUCCAAAUCCUAGGGGUGAAACAAAAAAACUAAAUGUUCUUGUCACCAUAAGGUUUAAGUAAAUUCAAUGCUUAAAAAAAACAAGGGAUAUAAAAAAAAUAAUAAUAAUAAACGCCAACCAAACUAUCCAUCAUAGAUUUAUAACUAUCCAACACCUCCAACAUUAAAGUAACAGCAACUAGUCAAAAUAACUUAAAUAAUGUAAAGUUGAAAAAUAACCCUCAUUGUCAAAUUGUCAAAAUACUAAGGAAGACAUGUCCUACGAGCAUAGUUAUUUCUCGUCACCACUGUAGCCCUAACUAAUCUUGCAAAGGAAGUUCGGCUGUGUUCAAACAGAACGCACCUGUGUUGCCAAAAGACAAAACGGGUCAAUAUAUAAGUAUACUAAUAUGAGUAUAAGAUUUGAUACCCACGUGUCUACCAAAUACAAACAAAAGUACAUUUAAUUAUUGUUACGGGACAAGACAAGUAGUUCCAUCCGCACCGAAACGAAUAGAUAAUUUCCCGAGAUACGGUGACAUUUAGUUUAUUGCCCGUACAACUAAAUAUAAAUUGAGUAUAAAAUAAAUGAAAUAAAAAUAAAAAUAUGGUGGGUUAGCCCUGCAUAAAAA